This 237-nucleotide ribosomal RNA is filed under the name uncultured bacterium. Its description in RNAcentral is "partial 16S ribosomal RNA". It matches the Rfam family "Bacterial small subunit ribosomal RNA", at positions 15 to 229 of the family's 1533-position model. The record is from RNAcentral.
GAUCCUGGCUCAGGACGAACGCUGGCGGCGUGCUUAACACAUGCAAGUCGAACGAAGAGCGAUGGAAGCUUGCUUCUAUCAAUCUUAGUGGCGAACGGGUGAGUAACGCGUAAUCAACCUGCCCUUCAGAGGGGGACAACAGUUGGAAACGACUGCUAAUACCGCAUACGAUCCAAUCUCGGCAUCGAGACUGGAUGAAAGGUGGCCUCUAUUUAUAAGCUAUCACUGAAGGAGGGG